This 449-nucleotide ribosomal RNA is filed under the name uncultured bacterium. RNAcentral describes it as "partial 16S ribosomal RNA". It matches the Rfam family "Bacterial small subunit ribosomal RNA", at positions 338 to 795 of the family's 1533-position model. The record is from RNAcentral.
CCUACGGGGGGCAGCAGUGGGGAAUAUUGGACAAUGGGCGCAAGCCUGAUCCAGCAAUGCCGCGUGUGUGAAGAAGGCCUGCGGGUUGUAAAGCACUUUGAGUGGGGAAGAAGGCCUGGGGGUUAAUAGCUUCUGGGAUUGACGUUACCCACAGAACAAGCACCGGCUAACUCCGUGCCAGCAGCCGCGGUAAUACGGAGGGUGCGAGCGUUAAUAGGAAGUGCUGGGCCGAAUGAGCGCGUAGGAUGUUAAAGCCCUGGGCUUAACCUGGGAACUGCAUUGGAUACUGUUUGACUGGAGUGUGGUAGAGGGGUGUGGAAUUUCCGGUGUAGCAGUGAAAUGCGUAGAGAUCGGAAGGAACACCAGUGGCGAAGGCGGCACCCUGGACCGACACUGACGCUGAGGUGCGAAAGCGUGGGGAGCAAACAGGAUUAGAUACCCUUGUAGUC